CUCAGUUCGGAUUGCAGGCUGCAACUCGCCUGUAUGAAGUCGGAAUUGCUAGUAAUCGUGGAUCAGCAUGCCACGGUGAAUACGUUCCCGGGCCUUGUACACACCGCCCGUCACACCAUGAGAGCCGGGAACACCCGAAGUCCGUAGUCUAACCUACAUGGAGGACGCGGCCGAAGGUGGGUUUGGUAAUUGGGGUGAAGUCGUAACAAGGUAUC
RNAcentral lists this ribosomal RNA (215 nucleotides) under uncultured bacterium. RNAcentral's name for it is "partial 16S ribosomal RNA". It matches the Rfam family "Bacterial small subunit ribosomal RNA", at positions 1287 to 1500 of the family's 1533-position model. The record is from RNAcentral.